RNAcentral lists this ribosomal RNA (253 nucleotides) under uncultured bacterium. RNAcentral's name for it is "partial 16S ribosomal RNA". It matches the Rfam family "Bacterial small subunit ribosomal RNA", at positions 524 to 776 of the family's 1533-position model. The record is from RNAcentral.
UACGUAGGGUGCGAGCGUUAAUCGGAAUUACUGGGCGUAAAGCGUGCGCAGGCGGUUUUGUAAGACAGAUGUGAAAUCCCCGGGCUUAACCUGGGAGCUGCAUUUGUGACUGCAAGGCUAGAGUACGGCAGAGGGGGAUGGAAUUCCGCGUGUAGCAGUGAAAUGCGUAGAUCUGAGGAGGAACACCGAUGGCGAAGGCAAUCCCCUGGGCCUGUACUGACGCUCAUGCACGAAAGCGUGGGGAGCAAACAGG